RNAcentral lists this ribosomal RNA (432 nucleotides) under uncultured bacterium. RNAcentral's name for it is "partial 16S ribosomal RNA". It matches the Rfam family "Bacterial small subunit ribosomal RNA", at positions 29 to 506 of the family's 1533-position model. The record is from RNAcentral.
AACGAACGCUGGCGGCAUGCCUAACACAUGCAAGUCGAACGAGACCUUCGGGUAUAGUGGCGCACGGGUGCGUAACGCGUGGGAACCUGCCCUUAGGUUCGGAAUAACUCCCCGAAAGGGGUGCUAAUACCGGAUAAUGUCUUCGGACCAAAGAUUUAUCGCCUUUGGAUGGGCCCGCGUUGGAUUAGCUAGUUGGUAGGGUAAAAGCCUACCAAGGCGACGAUCCAUAGCUGGUCUGAGAGGAUGAUCAGCCACACUGGGACUGAGACACGGCCCAGACUCCUUCGGGAGGCAGCAGUGGGGAAUAUUGGACAAUGGGCGAAAGCCUGAUCCAGCAAUGCCGCGUGAGUGAUGAAGGCCUUAGGGUUGUAAAGCUCUUUUACCCGGGAUGAUAAUGACAGUACCGGGAGAAUAAGCUCCGGCUAACUCCGU